This 498-nucleotide ribosomal RNA is filed under the name uncultured bacterium. RNAcentral describes it as "bacterial SSU rRNA". It matches the Rfam family "Bacterial small subunit ribosomal RNA", at positions 8 to 532 of the family's 1533-position model. The record is from RNAcentral.
AGAGUUUGAUCCUGGCUCAGGAUGAACGCUGGCGGCGUGCAUAACACAUUCAAGUCGAACGAGGUAGCAAUACCUAGUGGCGGACGGGUGAGUAACGCGUGAGCAACCUGCCCUUGUGUGGGGGAUACCGUCUGGAAACGGACGUUAAUACCGCAUAACGUUACGGAAUCGCAUGGUUCUGUAACCAAAGAUUUAUUGCGCAAGGAUGGGCUCGCGUUGGAUUAGAUAGUUGGUAGGGUAACGGCCUACCAAGUCUGCGAUCCAUAGCCGGACUGAGAGGUUGAACGGCCACAUUGGAACUGAGAUACGGUCCAGACUCCUACGGGAGGCAGCAGUGGGGAAUAUUGGGCAAUGGGCGAAAGCCUGACCCAGCGACGCCGCGUGAAGGAAGAAGGUCUUCGGAUUGUAAACUUCUUUUAUUAGGGACGAACACAUGACGGUACCUAAUGAAUAAGCCACGGCUAACUACGUGCCAGCAGCCGCGGUAAGAGAGUCUGU